CGUAAGGCGCCGAAUGAGUCAUUAAAAAAUUAACAUCAUCCGAUCCCUAGUCGGCAUAGUUUAUGGUUAAGACUACGACGGUAUCUGAUCGUCUUCGAUCCCCUAACUUUCGUUCUUGAUUAAUGAAAACAUCCUUGGCAAAUGCUUUCGCAGUAGUUAGUCUUCAAUAAAUCCAAGAAUUUCACCUCUGACAAUUGAAUACUAAUGCCCCCAAUAUCCCUAUUAAUCAUUACGUCGAUCCUAGAAACCAACAAAAUAGAAUCAAACGUCCUAUUUCAUUAUUCCAUGCUAAUGUAUUCAAGCGUGAGCCUGCUUUAAACACUCUAAUUUUUUCAAAGUAACAGUCCUGAUUCCCCACAACACCAAAUAAAUGACAUCAUGGUUCGUCAGAAGGGAGAAACCAACAAUACCAGUACGUACCGAGGCACGACCGACAUGAUGGUCCCGAAAUUCAACUACGAG
Molecule: ribosomal RNA, 462 nt
Filed under: uncultured Glomus
Lineage: Eukaryota; Fungi; Glomeromycota; Glomeromycetes; Glomerales; Glomeraceae
Description: partial 18S ribosomal RNA
Source: RNAcentral